UGCUACUUUUGCCGGCGAGCGGCGGACGGGUGAGUAAUGCCUGGGAAAUUGCCCAGUCGAGGGGGAUAACAGUUGGAAACGACUGCUAAUACCGCAUACGCCCUACGGGGGAAAGCAGGGGACCUUCGGGCCUUGCGCGAUUGGAUAUGCCCAGGUGGGAUUAGCUAGUUGGUGAGGUAAUGGCUCACCAAGGCGACGAUCCCUAGCUGGUCUGAGAGGAUGAUCAGCCACACUGGAACUGAGACACGGUCCAGACUCCUACGGGAGGCAGCAGUGGGGAAUAUUGCACAAUGGGGGAAACCCUGAUGCAGCCAUGCCGCGUGUGUGAAGAAGGCCUUCGGGUUGUAAAGCACUUUCAGCGAGGAGGAAAGGUCAGUAGCUAAUAUCUGCUGACUGUGACGUUACUCGCAGAAGAAGCACCGGCUAACUCCGUGCCAGCA
Molecule: ribosomal RNA, 440 nt
Filed under: uncultured Aeromonas sp.
Lineage: Bacteria; Pseudomonadati; Pseudomonadota; Gammaproteobacteria; Aeromonadales; Aeromonadaceae
Description: bacterial SSU rRNA
Rfam family: Bacterial small subunit ribosomal RNA
Source: RNAcentral